Molecule: ribosomal RNA, 466 nt
Filed under: uncultured bacterium
Lineage: Bacteria
Description: partial 16S ribosomal RNA
Rfam family: Bacterial small subunit ribosomal RNA
Source: RNAcentral
GACGAACGCUGGCGGCGUGCUUAACACAUGCAAGUCGAACGGUGAAGCAGAGCUUGCUCUGUGUAUCAGUGGCGAACGGGUGAGUAACACGUGAGUAACCUGUCCUUGACUCUGGGAUAUGCGUUGGAAACGACGUCUAAUACCGGAUACGAGCUCAGACCCCAUGGUGAUCGGUUGGAAAGAUUUUUUGGUCAAGGAUGGACUCGCGGCCUAUCAGCUUGUUGGUGAGGGAAGGGGCCACCAAGGCGACGACGGGGAGCCGGCCUGAGAGGGGGACCGGCCACACUGGGCCUGAGAACCGGCCAAGAUUCCUCCGGGAGGCAGAGGUGGGGAAUAUUGCCAAAGGGGCGAAAGCUGGAUGAAGCACCGCCGCGUGGGGGAUGACGGCCUUCGGGUUGUAAACCUCUUUUAGUAGGGAAGAGGCGAAGGGACGGGAACCUGUAGAAAAAGAACGGCUAACUUACUU